CAUUACCGAGUGAGGGCCCUCUGGGUCCAACCUCCCACCCGUGUUUAUUUUACCUUGUUGCUUCGGCGGGCCCGCCUUAACUGGCCGCCGGGGGGCUUACGCCCCCGGGCCCGCGCCCGCCGAAGACACCCUCGAACUCUGUCUGAAGAUUGUAGUCUGAGUGAAAAUAUAAAUUAUUUAAAACUUUCAACAACGGAUCUCUUGGUUCCGGCAUCGAUGAAGAACGCAGCGAAAUGCGAUACGUAAUGUGAAUUGCAAAUUCAGUGAAUCAUCGAGUCUUUGAACGCACAUUGCGCCCCCUGGUAUUCCGGGGGGCAUGCCUGUCCGAGCGUCAUUUCUGCCCUCAAGCACGGCUUGUGUGUUGGGCCCCGUCCUCCGAUCCCGGGGGACGGGCCCGAAAGGCAGCGGCGGCACCGCGUCCGGUCCUCGAGCGUAUGGGGCUUUGUCACCCGCUCUGUAGGCCCGGCCGGCGCUUGCCGAUCAACCCAAAUUUUUAUCCAGGUUGACCUCGGAUCAGGUAGGGAUACCCGCUGAACUUAAGCAUAUCAAUAAGCGGAGGAA
Molecule: ribosomal RNA, 561 nt
Filed under: Penicillium sp. JL7KGC02-65-70-M1
Lineage: Eukaryota; Fungi; Ascomycota; Eurotiomycetes; Eurotiales; Aspergillaceae
Also listed under: 2 other names
Description: eukaryotic LSU rRNA
Rfam family: 5.8S ribosomal RNA (bases 182-334)
Source: RNAcentral